This is a long non-coding RNA of Cephus cinctus (wheat stem sawfly), 843 nucleotides long. RefSeq lists it as uncharacterized. Lineage: Eukaryota; Metazoa; Arthropoda; Insecta; Hymenoptera; Cephidae. The transcript has 4 exons. The record is from RefSeq and is a predicted model, not a curated record.
GAUUACACCUGGCACCUUCCUUCACAGUACGGUACACCUCCAAUAUCUCAAAAGCUUUUAUGAGAACCGCCGAGAAAUUAGCUAUUUUAUCAGUUUGCAUAUUGGUAAUAGCAUUCUUAAGCUCUCUGACGUUAGCUAGAUUUGCUUGUACGAGAGAUUCGUUAAAACAUGGUACCACCUAUAUAGGAUAAGAACGUCUUUAGGACUGGUUGCUGCUUCAAUGUACCAGCUUCUUGUUCUACAGUCAAAGAGGUCAACGCGUGAAGGAUCCAUUGGCCACCUUAUAGCAGGAUAUUGUCUCAUGAAUCCUGUGGCGCUGCCGAAAUAUUGCCAGGACAAUGAUGGAUCUUGUUCGUAAUUAUGAAUGAACGUUUUAUCGAGUUCCUCGGACCAUUUGAUAGCCCGUAGAACAUUAUCAGCUCUGUCGUAGACAUUUGUCGAGACUCAUUUCCCAUUGCCGAAAGUGCUGACGUCUCUGCGACAUCCAUAAUACGCUAAUGGACAAGAAUCAGAAGUUCACUUGAGAUGUUUUGGACAAUUUUCACAUCGUCAAGAUUUUGAAUACCGGAAGACAGGGUGUCAAUCAUCACACACAAACAAUCAGGACUGUUCGAUUCUCUAUAAAGAAAUUGCAACCCCUCAAACAGCAGAUUUAUUCCAGUUGACGUGAACUUACGUGCUAAAGGAUAUACCAUCUUCUCGUCCGUGUAUCUCCGUAAGGAUGAGAAAGACGAUCGCUGGUAGGAAACAGACCUUCAUAACGCGCGAAACGAGUAACUCUGGCUGGCUUACAGCUGUUUAUACACCGGAAUAGUAAACAAAACUGAACAGAAGAGAAGCAGC